Scophthalmus maximus (turbot) is the source of this 2361-nucleotide long non-coding RNA. RefSeq lists it as uncharacterized. The transcript is spliced from 4 exons. NCBI's taxonomy places the organism in Eukaryota, Metazoa, Chordata, Actinopteri, Pleuronectiformes, Scophthalmidae. The record is from RefSeq and is a predicted model, not a curated record.
ACAGGGAGACGAGGAAGUGAGCAGACACGAGAGUUGUGGCUGAAAUGUGCCACGAAUGUCAGCGACGCAGCCGCCGAACACGCCAUUUGUUCACUGACAGCUUUUCGUGACUUACUGUACUCUCAGCAUCAGCGUACAUCUCUGUGGAUCAGUCAGUGAAACAGAGCUCCCUUUACCUAAGUUAUAGACUUCUGUUGAAAGUGAAGACCAAGAUUUAGAGGGCUGCAUUUUCCAUCCGAUCACAUUUUGCCUUACAUCACAUCCAUCCAUUAGCUGUACCACUUGUUCUGUUUCAGGGGGCGCGGAGCCAAUCCCACAGCCGGGCUACCUGCCAGCCCUGGACGGGCAGCCAGUCCGUCACAGCGCUGACACAUAGAGACAAACAACCAUUCGCGCUCACAUUCACACACCUCGGGGGCCAUUCAGAGCAGCCGAUUAACCCAACCUGCAUGUCCUCGGUCUGUGGGAGGAAGGCGGAGUCCCCGACAGGACAUUAAAACUCCACACGGAAAGGCCCCCGGCCGGCUGGCAGGUUCACGCCCAGAACCUUCUCGCUGUGAGGCAGCGGCGCUUACAUCAUCACAAUUCCGGUUAAUUAAUGCUUGACCUCUUGACCUUUCACCUUCACUGUUCCACUGGUGAACUUCCACCAUGUCAGUUUUCAUCAAUCUACAGUGCAUUAGUUCCUUUCCUAGCUCGCCGCUCUACCACGAUUCCGCAAUGUCAAAGCACCUUUCGUUCACAACUACGUCGCAAGGAUUGGAAAUUUUGACUUUGGCGUCUCUGAGCUGAAAUGGCAAAAAAAAUAAUACAAACACGCUUUCAUGAAGCAUCAAUUUCCACUGUCUUUUUCCACUAAUCAAAAUUUGUCAUCAGAUUAACUGAUGAUGUGGUAGAAGUUAGGGGUCGACCGAUAGGGCUUUUUCCGGGCUGAUACCAAACCAAUUAUUACUAAUCUUAGAGACCGAUAACCGAUAUUUGAAACCGAUAUUUGACUGCAGUAAAAAAAAAAAGUGUCACAAGGCAACAAUCCUCGAGCAGCCACAUGGUCAUAAAUACAGCAGAAGAGCAACACUGUACAAAAAAGACCCCUCACACUUUGUUUAAAUAAGAAAGUGAGCCGAUAUAAUUGCGGCCUAAUUGGAUUUCAUCCGGCGCACAGCACGAGCAGUUUUCCACACAAAGGCAACCGGACUCAGAACCGGUGACAGGAGUUGGUGAGCUUGCUGAGAAGUUGGAGGUGUGCGACCCGUUUACCGCGGCUCUUCAACUACUGGUUGGUCACAAUGGCUUCAAAGGACCUGGGGUCCUGUUGUCCUGAUGCCAUCUAUGAUAAACUAUCACAGUCAGCACUAACCUCAGUGGCAAACCAUGUUUCCUGGGACCGUCUGACAAUAACUGUCUGCUUCUCACCAAACAAAUGACCAGAUUGUCCCAUAGAGAUUUGACCAUAUGAAUGUUCACUCGUCUACCUGUAGACCCUUCUUCACUAUUAGAAUCUCCACUCAGGGACGAGGGGCCCGAUUUCUUAUUGUGUAGCUGUUUUCAGACAUUAACUCCGGAUAAUGCCCGGAACAUAGAACCCAGCAGGAGAUUGUCCAAGUCGUACGCAUCCACAACGGCUAGGAGCCACAUUCUCCUGCUGUAUUCUCACAUGGGCUCACUCUGAUAUUUUCUGGAGUCUUAUUUCUAGGGGGCUGGCAGGAAACGUUCUGGGAGAUGUCCAGACGGCAGUGCAGUGUCUGAAAGCAGCUUCUGGCGAUUGCUGGCGAGCCUGUGACACAGUGGGGCACAACACAACUGUCAAGUUGUAUUCCAUCAUUGCGCCCAUCAUCACCGUGAUGGAUCAUCCCACGGUGCAAUGCACCCAACCGUCGGCAUCUGCUCUCAAACGGCGAGCUGAGACUGUGCCGUGCGCGGAGCGGAUUGGCCCAAGGGUCCGUCAGAAAAUGAAUAUUGACACGGCCACGGGAAAUGGAAGAAGUGAAAUUCGCAGUGAAUUAAAAGGAGAACAGUAUAGGCCUCAAACUAAAGUUCUUAUUUGAUGGUCUGAUGGCGUCUGAACCCACGAACCCCCGCUCACACCUUUCCAUUGUCAGAGUUGGGUGGAUUUGCCUCUCACUUGUCUGCAGCUGACAGCCUGACAAGUUCGCCCCCUUCACGCUGCUGCCAGGUGCGUGUACAAAUGUGAGGAAGUGGAGGCUCUCUUUUCUCCUUUUUUUACACAAUAUUCGAUCCUGUUUUAAUCAUUCAAAAUACUAAAUUCUGUGUGCUAUUGUUAGUACUAUUUGACCAGAUUGCUGAAAACCCUCAAGACUGUUCUCCAUUUGCAACCUGCAACAUUAUAAACAUCAUAAGCCU